This 397-nucleotide ribosomal RNA is filed under the name uncultured bacterium. Its description in RNAcentral is "partial 16S ribosomal RNA". It matches the Rfam family "Bacterial small subunit ribosomal RNA", at positions 523 to 918 of the family's 1533-position model. The record is from RNAcentral.
AUACGUAGGGGGCGAGCGUUGUCCGGAAUGAUUGGGCGUAAAGGGCGCGUAGGCGGCGCGGUAAGUCUGGAGUGAAAGUCCUGCUUUCAAGGUGGGAAUUGCUUUGGAUACUGCCGCGCUUGAGUGCAGGAGAGGUUAUCGGAAUUCCCGGUGUAGCGGUGAAAUGCGUAGAGAUCGGGAGGAACACCAGUGGCGAAGGCGGGUAACUGGGCUGGAACUGACGCUGAGGCGCGAAAGUGUGGGGAGCAAACAGGAUUAGAUACCCUGGUAGUCCACACUGUAAACGAUGAAUGCUAGGUGUAAGAGGUAUCGACCCCUUUUGUGCCGGAGUCAACACAAUAAGCAUUCCGCCUGGGGAGUACGGCCGCAAGGUUGAAACUCAAAUGAAUUGACGGGG